RNAcentral lists this ribosomal RNA (465 nucleotides) under uncultured bacterium. RNAcentral's name for it is "partial 16S ribosomal RNA". It matches the Rfam family "Bacterial small subunit ribosomal RNA", at positions 28 to 507 of the family's 1533-position model. The record is from RNAcentral.
GAUGAACGCUGGCGGCGUGCUUAAUACAUGCAAGUCGAACGGAAGGGCCCUGAUCGCAGGGUUCUCGAGUGGCGAACGGGCGAGUAAGACAUGGGUGAUUAGCCCUGCUCUUCGGGUUAGGCCGCGGAAACUGGGCUUAAUUCCGGAUAGGAGCGAUUUUUAGUGUGAUGGUUCGAAAGUUUUCUCGGUGUUGGAUGAGCUGGCGGCCUAUCGGCUUGCUGGUGGGGUUAUGGCCUACCGAGGCGGCGACGGGUAGCCGGCCUGAGAGGGUGACCGGCGACAUAGGGUCUGAGGGGCGGCACAGACUGCGACGGGAGGCAGCAGUGGGGAAUAUUGCACAAUGGGCGCAGGCCUGAUGCAGCGGCGCCGCGUGGGGGAUGACGGCCUUCGGGUUGUAGACUCCUUUCGCUAGGGACGAAGCUUUUUGUGACGGUACCUAGAUAAGAAGCACCGGCUAACUACGUG